GUGCCAGCAGCCGCGGUAAUACGUAGGAUGCAAGCGUUGUUCGGAAUUACUGGGCGUAAAGAGUACGUAGGCGGUUUGAUAAGUCUGCUAUUAAAGACUGGAGCUUAACUCCAGGACUGUAGUGGAAACUGUCAGACUAGAGGACAAUAGAGGAAGUCGGAAUUCUCAGUGUAGCGGUGAAAUGCGUAGAUAUUGGGAAGAACACCAGUGGCGAAAGCGGACUUCUGGGUUGUUACUGACGCUGAGGUACGAAAGCGUGGGGAGCAAACGGGAUUAGAAACCCUCGUAGUCC
RNAcentral lists this ribosomal RNA (292 nucleotides) under uncultured bacterium. RNAcentral's name for it is "partial 16S ribosomal RNA". It matches the Rfam family "Bacterial small subunit ribosomal RNA", at positions 505 to 796 of the family's 1533-position model. The record is from RNAcentral.